Molecule: ribosomal RNA, 322 nt
Filed under: uncultured Bacillota bacterium
Lineage: Bacteria; Bacillati; Bacillota
Description: bacterial SSU rRNA
Rfam family: Bacterial small subunit ribosomal RNA
Source: RNAcentral
GACGAACGCUGGCGGCGUGCCUAACACAUGCAAGUCGAGCGGGGAAUCCCUUCGGGGGUUUCCAGCGGCGGACGGGUGAGUAACGCGUGAGCAACCUUUCCUUCACAGGGGAAUAACGCAGCGAAAGCUGUGCUAAUACCGCUUAAGACCACAGGAUCACAUGAUCUAGGGGUCAAAGGAGCAAUCCGGUGAAGGGUGGGCUCGCGUCUGAUUAGCUAGUUGGCGGGGUAACGGCCCACCAAGGCGACGAUCAGUAGCCGACCUGAGAGGGUGAUCGGCCACACUGGGACUGAGACACGGCCCAGACUCCUACGGGUGGCAG